This 425-nucleotide ribosomal RNA is filed under the name uncultured bacterium. Its description in RNAcentral is "partial 16S ribosomal RNA". It matches the Rfam family "Bacterial small subunit ribosomal RNA", at positions 354 to 796 of the family's 1533-position model. The record is from RNAcentral.
GUGGGGAAUCUUGCGCAAUGGGCGAAAGCCUGACGCAGCCAUGCCGCGUGAAUGAUGAAGGUCUUAGGAUUGUAAAAUUCUUUCACCGGGGACGAUAAUGACGGUACCCGGAGAAGAAGCCCCGGCUAACUUCGUGCCAGCAGCCGCGGUAAUACGAAGGGGGCUAGCGUUGCUCGGAAUUACUGGGCGUAAAGGGCGCGUAGGCGGACAGUUUAGUCAGAGGUGAAAGCCCAGGGCUCAACCUUGGAAUUGCCUUUGAUACUGGCUGUCUUGAGUGCGGGAGAGGUGAGUGGAACUCCGAGUGUAGAGGUGAAAUUCGUAGAUAUUCGGAAGAACACCAGUGGCGAAGGCGACUCACUGGCCCGUUACUGACGCUGAGGCGCGAAAGCGUGGGGAGCAAACAGGAUUAGAAACCCGGGUAGUCC